CACCUCCCUGGAAGAAAAAGAACAGGACAUAUGCAAGCUGUUCUUUCUGAAAAGCAGUGUGCUGCGUGAAAAGCUCUGGAUUGGGAACCAGAAGAGUUGAUCGCUUGCCUUGAUCCUUCCCUGUGGUGAUACUAAACUUACUUAACCACAGAUGUGGCACAGGAGCUGACGAUGGCUUCCUGAAAGAGCAAAGGCCUGAGCAGAGGUGAAAAGGAGAAGAGAGGCAUUCCAGGCAGAGGGAGCGUGAACCACAUAAUUGGUGUCUACAGAGGAUGGCAAAUACUUUGGUGUCGCACAAAAGAAACUGAUGGAAGGAGACUGUUCUUGUGACAGAAGAACUAGCACCUUCCUGAGAUUUCAUCUAAGGCAAGGAAAGCCUCUGCAGAGCAGGUUUGAAAGCACAAUGGGAGACAGGACCACAUGGAGUCCAGCUCAUUCGGUAAAGUGAUUACAUUUGAAACCAUGAAA
This is a long non-coding RNA of Hippopotamus amphibius kiboko, 468 nucleotides long. RefSeq lists it as uncharacterized. The record is from RefSeq and is a predicted model, not a curated record. The transcript is spliced from 4 exons. NCBI's taxonomy places the organism in Eukaryota, Metazoa, Chordata, Mammalia, Artiodactyla, Hippopotamidae.